UACAGAGGUCCCAAGCGUUGUUCGGAUUCACUGGGCGUAAAGGGUGCGUAGGUGGUCGGGUAAGUCUGUUGUGAAAUCUCCGAGCUUAACUCGGAAAUGGCAGUGGAUACUAUCCGGCUAGAGGAAUGGAGGGGAGACUGGAAUACUUGGUGUAGCAGUGAAAUGCGUAGAUAUCAAGUGGAACACCAGUGGCGAAGGCGAGUCUCUGGACACUUCCUGACGCUGAGGCACGAAAGCGUGGGGAGCAAACAGG
RNAcentral lists this ribosomal RNA (253 nucleotides) under uncultured bacterium. RNAcentral describes it as "partial 16S ribosomal RNA". It matches the Rfam family "Bacterial small subunit ribosomal RNA", at positions 524 to 776 of the family's 1533-position model. The record is from RNAcentral.